UCAUCAUCAAAGCACAAUCACCACCAUAUCCAAUCCACACCAAUCCAACAAAACCAAAAGAAUCAUAAUUGAAGAAAGGGAAGGAGACCGCCGCUGCUGAACACUGCCGCUGUUGCAAAACAAAGCACAACCGGAAUCCCGCAUCGCUGCCGCCGUCGCGCACAACCACUGCCGCCGUCGCGCACAACCGCUGCCGGUUCUCUCUCUCGGUUACGCUCCUUCUCUCUCUCGGUUACGCUCCUUCUCUCUCGCCGGUUAUUCUCUCUAUCUCUCACGCGUAUCUGUUUUCAUUCUUUUUACUCUGUUUCUUUUAUCAAUUAUUAUUAUUAUUAUUAUUAUCCUUAUUAUUAUUAUUAUUAUUAUUAUUAUUAUUAUUAUUAUUAUUAUUAUUAUUAUUAUUAUUAUUAUUAUUAUUAUUAUUGUUGUUGUUGUUGUUGUAAUUUUAUCAUAUCUGUUGGAUUGUUUUGGUGGCAUGAGUUUCUAAACAUGUGAUUCACACCCUAAAAUAUGCCAAUAACAACAAAAGACAAUUAAAAAAUACUAUAAUAAUAAGUAUCAUUUUAUGAGAUCAUUUCGAAGUAAAACAUUUUUUUUAAUAAAAUAAAAUUGGAUUGAAAAUGGGACCGGCGGAUGUACAUCCGCUCAUCUCUCAAAUGAUCGAACGCUGGCCAUGCGCCUUGCCUAUCGGUUGUUUGUCUUCCACAACUUAAAAUCAAUCUCAACUCAUCAAACUUCACUCUUUUCGCGUUCAUACACGCUCAAUUUUAUUUUUUUUUCCUCAAACGGGUACCAUCCCCCAGGCACGAGUCUUUCCUUUUUUUUAGUCAAACAAAGUUUUUUUUGCCAAAGCGCAUUAAAAAGUUUUCAUAAAUAAAAUCAACCAACACACAAGCAUUUUCUACCAGAACUACGGGGCUUUGAGUUUCNNNNNNNNNNNNNNNNNNNNNNNNNNNNNNNNNNNNNNNNNNNNNNNNNNNCGACGACCAUCUUUCCUUUUUCUCAAGGUUUUAUCGAUAUUUUCCUUUUCCUUUGGGAAUAAAUAAAGUUCGGUGGCGACUUUACUGUCUAAGCGAGCGAUUACCGCUCGCGCAUUUUUCCACCCGCUUCAAAUUUGUAUCUUAGAGAUACAACAAUAUCAUCCGAUUAUGUGGAAGUUUUAACACUACAUUCAGAAAGUUCAGAGUGUGGUUUUGUUGAAGUUUGUGAUUCUACACAUACAAUAAAUUUGAAGAAGANNNNNNNNNNNNNNNNNNNNNNNNNNNNUUCAGAGAAGAUUAUAUUAAAGAAGAAGAAUCAAAUCUUUCUACAAAGUCAUCAUCAAGUAAAGCUUCUGAUCAACUAUAUUGAAGAUUAAUUGCUCUUAUUCGUCUCAGAUAUAAUAGUCUUCAUGAGGGGGAGAUAUAAUUGUGUUCUACACUCUUUUUCCCUUAACCAUGGUUUUGUCCCAUUGGGUUUUCCUGGUAAGGUUUUUAAUGAGGCAGUUCAAACACAAAGGAUGUUGUACUCUUUUUCCUUCACUAGAAUUUUUUUCCCACGGGGUUUUUUCUAGUAAAUGUUUUAAUGAGGCAUAUCCUCGAUGGACAUCCAAGGGGGAGUGUUAUGAAUAUUAUUUAGUGGAUGUCCUGGCCCAUGUAAUUGGCCCAUUAUGUUUACCUAUAUAUAGAUAUUAUGUAUCACUAUAUUGUAACCCUAACCCUAGUGGUGAAUAACAUACACUAUUCUUUCUCUCUUUUAUCUCUUCUCCAUCAAUACUAUUGCUCCUAUUUACAUUAGUUUAUAACAG
This 1783-nucleotide long non-coding RNA is filed under the name Trifolium pratense (red clover). Its description in RNAcentral is "long non-coding RNA (TPRA_LNC011624)". The record is from RNAcentral. Lineage: Eukaryota; Viridiplantae; Streptophyta; Magnoliopsida; Fabales; Fabaceae.